RNAcentral lists this transfer RNA (72 nucleotides) under Latoia hilarata. RNAcentral describes it as "tRNA-Leu". Lineage: Eukaryota; Metazoa; Arthropoda; Insecta; Lepidoptera; Limacodidae. The record is from RNAcentral.
UCUAAUAUGACAGAUUUUAUGUAAUGGAUUUAAACCCCAUCAAUAAAGGAAUUAUAAAUCCUUUUUUUAGAA